CCGUCGUCAUCCUCCUGCCUCUUUUCUCUCUGCCUUCAGCUAGCCGCCCGAAUUUCUGCGCCGAGAGGUAAGUCGACGAUCCGUACGUAUGCGCGUGUGUUUGUGCGUCGUUUACAUGUUAGUCCUAUACAGGUAUGUGUGCAUAUGUGCGAGUUGUGUGCGCGCACGGACGUGAGGAUGCGUGAACGAGAUUCUCGUAUGAACGUGUGUCGCAAUUUGCUACUUUAUUGCUCCUUUUCCUCCACCCUUCUUUUUUUUCUCGUGUCUCUUUCCUGCCAUACAUUUUCCUGUCUGUAUAACCGUCUUGUACUGUUUACCCCGUCUUCCAGCAUAGACAAACAUUAUUCUUUAUGUACACCGCUUUUCACAAAUAUUCGUUACACAUUGUUUCUUUUAUACAUUGCACGAACACAUGUGGACUAGAGUUUUUUAACGUAAAGGCAACGCGAGGAAGUUUCUUAAACUGGAACUGGUGUCAUUCGGAAGUAUGCGAGACUGAACAAUGUCAGUCUUCGACUGCCACCUAUGCACACAUGCUUGUACUCGCAAGUUUCCUACCUUCCUCUGAUUUCCUACUUCGUGGAAUACUGCGCUACAGUUAACCUAUUGUACCAUCAAUAUGUGUAUUUUACGCAUACGUAUACCAAAGAUUCGUCCAUCAAAGAGAAACAUUUUAAUUUCCUACGUACGUACAUUGCACUGCUUUCUUUUAUCUCAAACAGUUUCUCUGUAUGACAAUAAUUAUUCUGUACUACUGAUACUUUGUAUAAAUCGCCUAACCUAUAUCGUGUCACAAGAAGGCAGCAUACACGCGAAAUAAUUGUUCGGACACGUUCGAUCGUAUCGCGAAGUCGACAUCGUUUUGCCCUAGAACAGGUGACUCCAAUUACGGUCCAAUUACCUGUGCGUUUAAUUCUCGUCCGACGCGACGGUUGAGGCGUUAAUUCGAGAGCGUGUACUUCGCAAAAAAAAGGACAAAAGAAAAGAAAAAGAAGCAAGAGAGAGAAUCGUUACCAAUGACAAGCAACGUGUUAACACCCAUACCAAGUAUAAUGGAUCACGACAGAGUGUCGCACAUGCAUUUCGGAUAUAAAUCUCCAACGAUUGUUCCUUCCAUUCGGCGACGUACUCGACGCAUGAAAAGAAAAAGAGAAAAAACAAACGACUCCUAUGGUCGUUAAUUAUUUUCGAGCGCGAGAGAUGCAUUCUCGUGCGUGUCCCGAUUUUUCCUACCAAUCAUCGUUUCUCGUUUCGACGUUAUUCAAUGCCGGAUGAAUGACCGAUUUAAUAUUAAUUAUUGUUUAUAAUGAACAGCAUUUUUUCAUGUCACCUCCUCCAUCUUCGUUAGUCUGUUGAUCUAAUUGAAUAUUUAUAAUUGUUUACGUUUCGAGCAUGACCAUGCUUCUCUCUGCGUUCGUCGGAUGAUAGAUAUUAAAGUAUUCUAAUUAUACAGAAAGGACAAUAUAAUGAGAUAUAUUGUAUUAUGCGUAUACUGUUAUUUUUAUUAUCUGAUAACCACGGAAUAAUAUUGUAGUAAAAUUUAAUGACAAAAUGAAAAUACAUAUGUACUAUGUACAUAGGUAACUACUAUAGUGGUAUGCAAGACUUUGGGUAGACAGAUUUUUCACUUUAUAUUCGAAAAGAUAUAUUUUAAGAAACUUUAAUUUAUAUCAUAUGUCUAUGUAACAAUACUUUAUUUAUCGUACUAUUUUCUUAUAUCCAAUACUAUUUAAAUUAUUAUUAUUAUCGUCCCAAUAUUAGUUAACAUUCUUCCAGACAUUGUUCUUGAAAUAUGUACGUAUAAAGUGAGAAAUCUAUCUAGCCAGAAAAUCUUACACACCAUUGUAUAUAUCGUUACGAAAAUAAAAAUUUAGCAAGGAAAGAAAGCGACAAUCUUACAGCAGCUUCUAGAACGACACAAGAGCAAUGUAUUCGCAACAAGCAGUUUCCACUUCGUUAGUACGAACCUUUCUUUCACGUGCUAAAGAGCAGCACGAUAUACGGCCGCGACAUCGUCUCAUGUUUUUUCCUUAAACAGUCGGAGUUUAGCUAAAAAGCCAGCAACCUGCACUCGGCCGAUUUUGCCUACACGUGAGUGGUCAUACACCGCCCGAACUUUCCGAGGGAAGAACACCGAAGAUACACCGCCAAGGACGGCCGAUCUCACUAGCGACGCUACUUAAUACGUGUACUCGACCGAGUGUGCAAUUAAUCACCGAUCCGUGGGUAAUUGGUGCCGGGGCACGGGAAUCGAUCAGGCCGGAGCAUCGACGUGUGCACGGGCCAUUCAACGAAAGUUCCGUCACACUAUGUCCUGUCCUCCGAGACAUCCGGUUGAAAGUGUUUCGUUCAGAGGCUACUGCGGGAAAAAAGGGACCGAAGAGUUCAAAAAAUAGACUAGGAUGUGACGUUUAUACUCUCUGUUCAAUGAGAAAUCCAAUGUGUUAGAAGAGGUAAAUAAGAUCACGUGAUCAGAUUCUAAAGAAAAGGAUCAAUUUUCAAUUUUGGUAUUUUACUUGAAGUAGAUAGUUACCUCUUCAAACAUUAACCUUUUCAGCUUUAGCAACUGAGUUUAAAUAUUGUAAAGAUUACAAUUCAUUAUAUAAUAAUUAUGAAACAAUUGUUGGAACAUCGUGUAAUCAGUUAUGCUUAUCUCUUAUCAAUUGGACUCGUUGGACAGAAUAAGAACCUGGAAAAUGUAACAAAAUAUAAAUUAGAAUUAAGCUUAGAAUUGAAAUUAAUCUUAUAUAUAAAAAAAAAAUAAAUAAAUUGUAAUUGCAGAACUAAAAAGGGAAUAAAUAAACUACCUUUGAAUUA
This is a long non-coding RNA of Bombus impatiens (common eastern bumble bee), 2817 nucleotides long. RefSeq lists it as uncharacterized. Lineage: Eukaryota; Metazoa; Arthropoda; Insecta; Hymenoptera; Apidae. The record is from RefSeq and is a predicted model, not a curated record. The transcript is spliced from 2 exons.